Molecule: ribosomal RNA, 511 nt
Filed under: uncultured bacterium
Lineage: Bacteria
Description: bacterial SSU rRNA
Rfam family: Bacterial small subunit ribosomal RNA
Source: RNAcentral
UCUGGCUCAGGAUGAACGCUAGCUACAGGCUUAACACAUGCAAGUCGAGGGGCGAGCGGGAUCUAGCUUGCUAGAUUGCCGGCGACCGGCGCACGGGUGAGUAACGCGUAUCCAACCUUCCCUUAGUAGGGCAUAGCCCGUAGAAAUGCGGAUUAAUACCCUAUGUUUUUCCAAUGAGGACAUCUGAGCUGGAACAAAGGUUUACCGCUAAGGGAUGGGGAUGCGUCCGAUUAGGCAGCAGGCGGGGUAACGGCCCACCUGGCCGACGAUCGGUAGGGGUUCUGAGAGGAAGGUCCCCCACAUUGGAACUGAGACACGGUCCAAACUCCUACGGGAGGCAGCAGUGAGGAAUAUUGGUCAAUGGGCGCGAGCCUGAACCAGCCAAGUAGCGUGCAAGGAUGACGGCCCUAUGGGUUGUAAACUGCUUUUAUGCGGGGAUAAAGUGCGGCACGUGUGCCGUUUUGUAGGUACCGCAUGAAUAAGGACCGGCUAAUUCCGUGCCAGCCGCUGC